UACGGAGGGGGCAAGCGUUGUUCGGAAUUACUGGGCGUAAAGGGCGCGUAGGCGGCUUGGCAAGUUGGGCGUGAAAGCCCUGGGCUUAACCCAGGAAUUGCGCUUGAGACUGCCGGGCUUGAGUGCGGGAGAGGUGAGCGGAAUUCCCAGUGUAGAGGUGAAAUUCGUAGAUAUUGGGAAGAACACCAGUGGCGAAGGCGGCUCACUGGCUCGCAACUGACGCUGAGGCGCGAAAGCGUGGGGAGCAAACAGG
This 253-nucleotide ribosomal RNA is filed under the name uncultured bacterium. Its description in RNAcentral is "partial 16S ribosomal RNA". It matches the Rfam family "Bacterial small subunit ribosomal RNA", at positions 524 to 776 of the family's 1533-position model. The record is from RNAcentral.